This 369-nucleotide ribosomal RNA is filed under the name Amantis tristis. RNAcentral's name for it is "partial 12S ribosomal RNA". The record is from RNAcentral. Lineage: Eukaryota; Metazoa; Arthropoda; Insecta; Mantodea; Gonypetidae.
AUACCCUAUUAUUUUUAAUGUAAAAUUUAAACCUGAGUAUUAAUAGUUAUGGUCUUAAAACUUAAAGAAUUUGGCGGUAUUAUAAUCUAUUUAGAGGAAUCUGUUAUGUAAUCGAUAGACCACGUUGAACCUUACUUAUAUUAUUUCCUGUAUAUCGCUGUUUUUGAAUAUACUUUUAGGUUAUUUUCUUGAUAUAGAAUAAUUUAAUAUUUCAAGUCAAGGUGCAGUAAUAUAUGAGUUGAAUAAUGGAUUACAAUAAAUUUUAUUUAUAUGGAUUUUUAUUGAAAUAUAAUUUGAAGGUGGAUUUAAUUGUAAUUUUUUAAAGAUUAUAAAAAUGAUUAAUAGUUCUAUAAUAUGCACACAUCGCCC